Long non-coding RNA from Vulpes vulpes (red fox), 2428 nucleotides. NCBI's taxonomy places the organism in Eukaryota, Metazoa, Chordata, Mammalia, Carnivora, Canidae. The record is from Ensembl.
UUUUCAUUUACCUACAUAUUGCAGUAUUUAUUGUCUGUUGUUGCUUAGAUUUAAAAGAAAAUUCAGGUUAUGAUUUCAAAUCCUUUAUCUGAUCAAAAGCAACUAACGUCCAGAUCUCUUUUGUGAGCCUAUUCUUAAAGAAUUGACCUAAGGAAAACCUUGAUUUUCUAGGAAGAUACUCUUAUCUACCUGACUUUGGAAAUACAGAUAACAAUGUUGCACACUCUUAGGUACACGGGUGAUGGAAGAGGAUUUGUGGCAUAAUGAUUAAGAGCUUGGUUCUGGAAUCAAACAAACCUGGCCUGGAUUCCCUGGGCCUCCUGCUUAUGGUUCUGACACUGAGUUUAAUUGCUUUUACAGGUCACAAUAGAAAUGUGUUUGCUUUCCUGUUAAAUUGUGAAGUACAGAAAAAUCUUAUAGAAGUUGAAGAAGUUGUACCAGGAGUUGUUGAUGAAGAUAGCAAAACCCAAACCACCCACCAAAUAACUAACAAUACCUACACCCCUACCCCACAAAUGAAUUCAGAAAUACCAAGAAAGAUGCAGUCCUUCAAAGUAUUGGUUGUUGACAUUUUGCAGGUGGUAGCAGUAAAAAUGCAUAUACAUAAAUAUAACUCUUCAUCUUCCAGACAGCAGCCUCCUGGAAUUCCAAGUAUAGGCUUCCUACGUGCAUCCCAGAAAUAGCUCAUUUUCCUUUUUCUUCUUUUUGAAGAGCAAGAACCAUCCACUUCUUUGGUGAACAGUAGCCCUAUCACCAACCAGCACAGAUAAGUAUAGUAGAGAAACACUGAAGGCCCCUCUACUGUGAUUGGUGGAAAGGGAAUGGCUGGUAGUGUCUACAAAAGGUCAGCUUACUUCUAGAAAGCCUCAGGGGUAUGGGAAAGGUGCCUGAAAAUAUGGAGAAGGAAGUAGGAGGGGGAAGGAAAAGAAUGGCAGGAUUGGUGGUGAAGGGAGAGGAGUGAUUAGUAGGCUGACAGCAGGUAAGAAAGAGGGACAGCAGCAAAGGGCUGCAUUGGAAGGGACCAGAAAGCCACUGGUAUCGACAUCAGAAGCAUCUUCUUGCAGUUAAUGGAUCUUCCCUUGUACUGAGAAGAAUCCCAAUAUUCUCAGAGAAUUCAGAUUGCCUGUUGAAGGCACACUAGAGGGUAAAGAUCAGUAGUUUGCGGUGGAGGUUAGAGUGGAAGAUAUUUAUGGAAUAGUAUAUAUGACAAAGGAACCCUUUCAUUUAAGAUAAAAGGAAAAGGAGGUACUUGCAUACCAAAAAAAUAUAUAUAUAUAUAUUUGAAUUCUCCACAUUUCAGUGUUUUAAUCUUUGGCAAUGUACAUAAAACCAUCACUAUGCUUUUCAUACCAAAUGUUUGAAGUGAUGACCCCAUUUUGACCGGAGGGUGGAUCAAUGUGGACAAAGACCUUUGUCUUUGGAGUCAGAUGGACAAGAAUUCAGGCCUCUUGGUGUUUUUCUGAUAUUGGACAAUUUACUUGCUGUUUUCUUGGUUAAGAAGACACGUCUUGUUUUACAUGAGGAGUUUAUCUUAAAAUUAUGUGAGGAUUAAAAUAAGAGCAUGUAUUUUAAAAGGGACUAGGUCAGUGCCUGAUACACACUUGACUGUGUGCUCAGUUCUGUUUGCCUUCCCCUGUGUGAAGGGCUUUGGAAGUCCCUGUGAGUAAAAAGGCAUGCAAUUUUAGAAAAGGUUAGGAUGAUAUAUUUUUAGUGAUUAUAUCAUUAAAUGUGUCUGCUUUCUCAAUUCCCUAGAAUCAGGAAGAAUUUUCUUUUGGGGUGAGAGAAAAUGUGAACACGAGACAUUUCACUCAACACCACACCCUUGCCGCUCACACUUACUCGGCCGUAGCUGCUCUGCUUUAUUUGUAGUGCUUUCUCCAAUGGCAGUAGUUAGUGAAGGUCACAAUCUUUAGGAGGGUCUAACUCCUGCCCAUCUUUCUAGUCUCACCCUUGUCACUCUCUCCCCCAUUGACUACAGCCUCAGCCACACUGGCUUCAUUCAUUCCUCCAACACCCCGAACGCCUUUCCUCCUCAGGGCCUUUGUUGCCUCUCCUUGAAAUACUUGCCCUGGCCUUCUGUCUCUUACACACGUAUGCACGCACAUACACACACCCUACUUCGGUUCAACUGAUUCCUACGAAUUCCUACUUAUAUUUCACGUUGUCACUUCGCUACUCCAGCCGAGGUUAGAUUUAGAUCUUCUGGUAAAAAGCUUUUCCAACAUCCACCCUGCAACUUACCUCAACUCUAAUUAAUUCUCUUGGUGGGUAGGCUAAUGUCUAUCUUUCUCUCUGACUAAAACAUCAGUGAGGACAGAGACUGUCUGUCUUGGUCAUAACUCUGUCCUCCACUUUCAGUUCUGUUCCUGGUACAUAAUAGAUGGUCAACAAAUAGUUGUCCAAUAAAUGAUGCCAGCAUCAGGAACCA